GGGUCAGUAGGUUGGUCGUGCCACCGGUACGUACUGGUCUCACUGAUUCCUCCUUCCUGAAGAACCGUAAUGCCAUUAAUUUGGUGUUGCGGGGAAACAGGACUGUUACUUUGAAAAAAUUAGAGUGUUUAAAGCAAACUAACGCUUGAGUACAUUAGCAUGGAAUAAUGAAAUAGGACGAUCGAUCCUAUUUUGUUGGUUUCUAGGAUUGACGUA
This 216-nucleotide ribosomal RNA is filed under the name Glomeromycotina sp. RNAcentral describes it as "partial small subunit ribosomal RNA". The stretch from base 40 to 216 matches the Rfam family "Eukaryotic small subunit ribosomal RNA", at positions 686 to 864 of the family's 1831-position model. Lineage: Eukaryota; Fungi; Glomeromycota. The record is from RNAcentral.